CUUCAGUACCUCUAGGGUUUGCAAAUGGGACCCUAAUUCAGAGUAAACACACAUUUGAGGUAGAACAAAGAAGAUGAAGAGAUCAGAGAUGGGGAAAAAGAAGCUGGCCUUCUGUCUUGGCUGCGGUGUUCUGAAGCCAAGAUACACACUGUGCAGCUGUGAAUAUGCCUGAGGAGGCUGUCUUCUUGGAUUUAUGAACCAUUCCUAAGGGAUCCAGAGGAUAUCACACCCCUGCCUCAACAGAGCUCUAGAAAUCCUGACCCUCUUGCUUCAUCUCUAUAGGAAGGGUCUGCUGGGAAAGCAUCAUCCUGACCUUCCACCAUCAGUGAGCUCGUAGAGUGAUUUAGAAGUUAAAGAAACUGACUAUUGAGCUCCAGAAGAUGACCUCUGAGUUUGCUUGAGACCUGAAGCCAGGUAGACUAUGGAAAUGGGAACUCCUUUUGGAGGAAUCUGCUUACGUUGGAGUAACUGGGAAACUGUGACCAAGGUCAUCCAGUCAUCCCAGAAACCAUAUGCUGAGAUAGAGCACUGAAACUUGCAGGGGCCUUGGGAUUGAUCAUUUGUUCACAGAAAGCCAAAGCUGAACUGGAGCAAACUCAACAAAGAAAGAAGUUUUGUGAGAACUACAGAAAUACAUAUAUUGGAUAGGAAUGCUUCUUGUCUAAACUGCCAGUCAUCCACGAGGGCAUUAGCGGAUACAGCAUCAUACCUCAGCAUAUCUUAUUGUAAAGGUUGGAGCAGAACUGUCAAAUCUCAUCCUGUGUUAUGAUGUAUAUUAGCCUCAUCAGAUUAAAUUAAGAAUUGAAAAACUACCCCGGGAUUGAAAGUGGGAAGCUGCAGCCUGACAUCACGGCUCAGGAGUAUAGGCAUGGGAAGACCCAGUCUGGGAAGAUGUUACUGUUCAUAGAGCCCACCUUCCACUAUUGCGGAAAUACUGAAGACGUCCUCAAUCAACUCCCUUUCAAGCAUGGUCUUCUGGGAUUUGUAGACAUCAGAGCCACUAACAACACCAAUUCAAUUCAAGAUUACUUACAAUACCUCACUGGACUUAGAACAGUCCCUUGGGUCUUUAUAGGUAAUCAAAGACUUCAUAGGCAGACACAGUGAUCUAAUCUCCCUAUAACAGAAUGGGUAGCUGAUGACGUGGCCGAAAGAGAUUGGAGCUCUGCUGUUAUGAAAAGGGUGGCAGUAAAUCCCAUGUUGACAGCUGUCAUUCAGGCAUGUUGAAGGCCAGUGCACCUGGGAGUUAAUGGGCAUCAUGGAGGAGGACAGUAUUUUCUUGUGACUUGGAUUUUCAGAAAAUUGGCUUUUAUUCUAUUCCUCAGUGCUUAAUUAUGAUGCUGUCUGCAUGAAACCAUGAAGUAUGGAAUCUUAACAGAUCACACAGAAUGGAUUAUCCAUACUUCAUGUGCUGACAUGUCUCUAACUCUAAGCCCAUGUUUCACAAUCCAGUGCAUCUAAAUCUCCAGUGAAUCAAUUACUGAUUUUCUACCAUGCUGUUCUGCUGAUAUCAUUUUGCAGAAGUCCACUUCCUAAUGAUUAUUAAAGCAAUGAAUAUUGUGAA
This is a long non-coding RNA of Rattus norvegicus (Norway rat), 1564 nucleotides long. RefSeq lists it as uncharacterized. The record is from RefSeq and is a predicted model, not a curated record. Lineage: Eukaryota; Metazoa; Chordata; Mammalia; Rodentia; Muridae.